AUUGAACGCUGGCGGCAGGCCUAACACAUGCAAGUCGAACGGUAACAGGAAGCAGCUUGCUGCUUUGCUGACGAGUGGCGGACGGGUGAGUAAUGUCUGGGAAACUGCCUGAUGGAGGGGGAUAACUACUGGAAACGGUAGCUAAUACCGCAUAACGUCGCAAGACCAAAGAGGGGGACCUUCGGGCCUCUUGCCAUCGGAUGUGCCCAGAUGGGAUUAGCUAGUAGGUGGGGUAACGGCUCACCUAGGCGACGAUCCCUAGCUGGUCUGAGAGGAUGACCAGCCAUACUGGAACUGAGACACGGUCCAGACUCCUACGGGAGGCAGCAGUGGGGAAUAUUGCACAAUGGGCGCAAGCCUGAUGCAGCCAUGCCGCGUGUAUGAAGAAGGCCUUCGGGUUGUAAAGUACUUUCAGCGGGGAGGAAGGGAGUAAAGUUAAUACCUUUGCUCAUUGACGUUACCCGCAGAAGAAGCACCGGCUAACUCCGUG
Molecule: ribosomal RNA, 490 nt
Filed under: uncultured bacterium
Lineage: Bacteria
Description: partial 16S ribosomal RNA
Rfam family: Bacterial small subunit ribosomal RNA
Source: RNAcentral